RNAcentral lists this ribosomal RNA (492 nucleotides) under uncultured bacterium. RNAcentral's name for it is "partial 16S ribosomal RNA". It matches the Rfam family "Bacterial small subunit ribosomal RNA", at positions 29 to 507 of the family's 1533-position model. The record is from RNAcentral.
AGUGAACGCUGGCGGUAGGCCUAACACAUGCAAGUCGAACGGCAGCACAGUAAGAGCUUGCUCUUACGGGUGGCGAGUGGCGGACGGGUGAGGAAUACAUCGGAAUCUACUUUUUCGUGGGGGAUAACGUAGGGAAACUUACGCUAAUACCGCAUACGACCUACGGGUGAAAGCAGGGGAUCUUCGGACCUUGCGCGAUUGAAUGAGCCGAUGUCGGAUUAGCUAGUUGGCGGGGUAAAGGCCCACCAAGGCGACGAUCCGUAGCUGGUCUGAGAGGAUGAUCAGCCACACUGGAACUGAGACACGGUCCAUACUCCUACGGGAGGCAGCAGUGGGGAAUAUUGGACAAUGGGCGCAAGCCUGAUCCAGCCAUACCGCGUGGGUGAAGGAGGCCUUCGGGUUGUAAAGCCCUUUUGUUGGGAAAGAAAAGCAGCAGGUUAAUACCCCGCUGUUCUGACGGUACCCAAAGAAUAAGCACCGGCUAACUUCGUG